UACGUAGGCAGCAAGCGUUGUUCGGAAUUACUGGGCGUAAAGAGUGUGUAGGCGGUGCUCUAAGUUCGGUGAUGAAAUCUCCCGGCUCAACUGGGAGGGUGCGCCGAAAACUGGGGUGCUGGAGCGCGGGAGAGGAAAGCGGAAUUCCUGGUGUAGCGGUGAAAUGCGUAGAUAUCAGGAGGAACACCGGCGGUGUAGACGGCUUUCUGGACCGUAGCUGACGCUGAGACACGAAGCGUGGGUAGCAAACAGG
This 253-nucleotide ribosomal RNA is filed under the name uncultured bacterium. Its description in RNAcentral is "partial 16S ribosomal RNA". It matches the Rfam family "Bacterial small subunit ribosomal RNA", at positions 524 to 776 of the family's 1533-position model. The record is from RNAcentral.